AUAUUGGACAAUGGGGGCAACCCUGAUCCAGCCAUGCCGCGUGUGUGAAGAAGGUCUUCGGAUUGUAAAGCACUUUAAGUUGGGAGGAAGGGUUCUAGGUUAAUACCCUGAAGUAUUGACGUUACCAACAGAAUAAGCACCGGCUAACUCUGUGCCAGUAGCCGCGGUAAUACGGUGGGUCCAAGCGUUAAUCGGAAUUAAUGGGCGUAAAGCGCGCGUAGGUGGUUCAGUAAGAUGGGUGUGAAAUCCCCGGGCUUAACCUGGGAACUGCUUUCAUAACUGCUGAGCUAGAGUACGGUAGAGGGUAGUGGAAUUUCCUGUGUAGCGGUGAAAUGCGUAGAUAUAGGAAGGAACACCAGUGGCGAAGGCGACUACCUGGACUGAUACUGACACUGAGGUGCGAAAGCGUGGGGAGCAAACA
Molecule: ribosomal RNA, 421 nt
Filed under: uncultured bacterium
Lineage: Bacteria
Description: partial 16S ribosomal RNA
Rfam family: Bacterial small subunit ribosomal RNA
Source: RNAcentral